AGAACAAAAAUCUGUGGCUGAAGAUGAAAAACCAACCGACGGUUCAGCAGGUGAGCCAGUCAGACUUCCUCUAAUCAACCAGUUUACAGUUCAGAGGUUUUCCUCAGCUGGAUGAUCAGGAAGGAGAGCUGCACCAAGGCAGAGCUGCACAGGAAGUGGAUGCAGCGCUGAGCAGGAAGUGGAUGGCCCUUAGCCUGUUGCUCUGCCUGCUGCAGUCUGUCGCAGGCAUCCUGCCAGGAUUAUUUGGCAGCUGGAUGACAUGCAGAAGUUUUGGAAAUUCUACCUGAGCUGUGGAUCUCUGCAGCUCCUUCAGAGUCACUGUGGUCCUCUUGGCUACAGCUCUGAGUACAGGUGCAUAUAAAAAUGUAAUCUCACGUUUGUUAAAAGUGUCAUUAUGUCUUGACAGUAGAAUAUGAAACAGAUAAUGAAAAGGUCAAGCUCCUCCCUGUGGCUCUACUGAGACCUGCUCACAAAUAACCAAUCAGAGCCAGGAGGCGGGGCUUAGUGCUGCUAAUAAAGCUCAAGAUUACUGGUAAGCUGCAGCUGUGCUAAUGGCAGAGAUAUAAAGUUACAGCAAAACUGUCAGUGCCUCAUGUUGUCUGCAGGCUCUGGGCAACCAGCUGGAUUAUUUUAUUUAGGGGCGUCAUGGAAAAAGAAUUUGAAUAUAAGCUGCUGGUUUUAUAAGAUCUUUUAGAAACCAGGAAUGAUUUUUCAUCCACCUCACAUUUCUGCUUUACUUGUUGAUAAAAUAUUCAUAAAACAUAUUGAAGUUUGUAAAAUCUGAAAUAAUUUAAGGAGUAUGUAAACUUUUCACAGUAAAAUAAGAUUUAUGCUCUUUCUGCAAGUACAAAAUGUAAGAAAUGUCCCAUGAAAACAUGUUAGUGUCCUGCAGUGAGGACUCGCGUGUCAAAGAGCCUGUCGGGUCCUUUAACACGGAGAUGAACAGAAACAGAGAUGAAAUAAUGAGAUGGAAGUAUGUCAGGUCUUGUAUGGUGGUUAUCUGUGGCUUAUAGGCCAUAAUAGCUGACCUGGUCAUGCUGAGCUGCAUUAUGUUUGUCCUCUGGACACCAAAGAACAUUGAUGCCUCAAGACUGCAUCAAUGUUCGAUUUUCUUUACAAACUCUGUCAGGAUUUUAUUUCCAGAAAGGCAAACAUGUUCAGUCUCUCUAAAUUAUGAUUGAAUUUUCAUCAGUUCAGCAGGUCCCAAACUGGCUGUUAAAAAAGGACUUUAGUCAUACAAACGACAGCAUCACUAAAGCCAUUGAGUCUAAGAACUUCCCUCCUAACCCAUUAGCAUGAAUAUAUUUCCACCUCAGCAAUAAAACCUUGCAGAUUCCAUUCCAUAAAAUCCUAAAUUUCCAUCUGUCCCAAACUGCUUCAUAAACCUGAGUGAACCUCCAAGCCCAGCAGAUUAACGACGGCUAGCGUCAGAGCGCCGCUCUUCAGUCUGGCUGUAAACAACGCCUCACUGUAACCUGGAGCAGCUCUGUCACUUUUUAUCACCCCCAAAAUUCAGCUGAACACUUUGACUGUUAUCCCUGCUGGAGGAAUCGUUAAAGUUACAAGCAUUGUCUGAUUUUUAAUGCUUCAGGUUUUAUUUAGUAAAAGCCACCAUUGAAAUGCUUAAAUGUCUCUUUUCUACCGAAGCAGACUGCAUUCAGUUAAACUCGUGUCUUAUUCUGCUGCAGACACAACUCAGUCAGACUCAACAUGAACCAUUAAUGAGCUGAAAUCAGCAUGUUAAUAAGAAUUUAUGAACUUGACUUUAAUGAUGGUUUGGAUUGAACUGAUACAUUGAAACCUGUAAGAAUGAUAAAUACAAACUAAUAUAUAUCAAGAGGAUUUAAUGUAUAAAAUAAUAAAGACAGAGAAAAGCUAUUUUCCUCCUCAUUUCCAUCCUUGACAGUUGGUUCAUCCUGCUGCAGCAUCUUCACAUCAACUGAUGCUUCGAUAGAAGAACCACUGCAGACGAAAACCUGCACGGUCAAUUCAAAUGUCUGAUUGAAUUUAAAAGAUUUUACAUAAGGAGUUUUGAGACGGUAUUUGUUUGAGUAGAGCAGAGCAGAGGCCUCCAAAUGUCCUGAAAUCUUUAGAUGUGUUCCUGCUCCAACACGCCUCAUCAAUUCAGUUCAUUUCAGUUUGGUUACGCAGCGCCAAUCCCCCCAACAAGCAGCUCCUCCGUCUGCAGUCGGUCUGCAGACUCGGGUGUCUGCAGCAAACAUGCAACUGACAGCAACAUGUAGAGAGAUGAGGCAGAAACAAACAAACCUUUGCUGCUCACUUUGUGAUCCGAUCCGUCUGUCUUCAGAUGUCACUGAUCUAAAGUUUAACUUUGCACCUCUCUCUCCUGAAAGACUGAAGAAUAAAAAUAAGAGAAGAAACCCAGAAAUGAUUUUGAUGUGCAGUUUGUAAUGGAGGUUCGGUGCCUCCAUCAGCAGAGCUUCAUGUAAAUCUGUUGAUCGGGAGUUUUUAAUGGGAUUUUGCAAUAAAAUUAUUUGAUGUUGAGUCUUCCUUUUAUGUUUUCUGAACAGCAGAGCCCUGAUAAUAUUUAAGUUUUUUCACUAAUUUGCUAAUUUGAUUGGUGGACAUCAGCGUUGUCUUUACAGAGAAAUAAAACAGCAGAAUAUUAGUUAAAUAUUUUGUACAGACUGUUAUGAAACUGGACUGUUAAAAACUAAAGAAAGUUGUACAUUUCAUGCACAACUUGAAAUAAAGAUCAGAGUUUUUC
This is a long non-coding RNA of Poecilia latipinna (sailfin molly), 2728 nucleotides long. RefSeq lists it as uncharacterized. NCBI's taxonomy places the organism in Eukaryota, Metazoa, Chordata, Actinopteri, Cyprinodontiformes, Poeciliidae. The transcript has 2 exons. The record is from RefSeq and is a predicted model, not a curated record.